RNAcentral lists this ribosomal RNA (301 nucleotides) under uncultured bacterium. Its description in RNAcentral is "partial 16S ribosomal RNA". It matches the Rfam family "Bacterial small subunit ribosomal RNA", at positions 509 to 807 of the family's 1533-position model. The record is from RNAcentral.
CAGUAGCCGCGGUAAAACGAGGGGGGCAAGCGUUGUUCGGAAUUAUUGGGCGUAAAGCGCACGUAGGCGGAUAUUUAAGUCAGGGGUGAAAUCCCGCAGCUCAACUGCGGAACUGCCUUUGAUACUGGGUAUCUUGAGUAUGGAAGAGGUUAGUGGAAUUGCGAGUGUAGAGGUGAAAUUCGUAGAUAUUCGCAGGAACACCAGUGGCGAAGGCGGCUAACUGGUCCAUAACUGACGCUGAGGUGCGAAAGCGUGGGGAGCAAACAGGAUUAGAUACCCCUGUAGUCCCUGUCUCUUAUAC